RNAcentral lists this long non-coding RNA (366 nucleotides) under Homo sapiens (human). RNAcentral describes it as "HSALNT0280301". The record is from RNAcentral. Lineage: Eukaryota; Metazoa; Chordata; Mammalia; Primates; Hominidae.
UUUCAGUGUGAGUGAACCCAGGGAGAGGCCAAGCAUAGUUUUUUGAGGAGUGAAACUUCCAGCAGCAAACCGCUUGGAUAAUUACUCAAGGUUUUCCCUACAGUAUUUUCUAAGGCAAUGUGUAAGUAUAAUUAAGGCUGUUUGAACAUGUAUUCUCUCCGCAGGAUAAUAAGGAUAAUAUGUAAGAAUCUGUUGCUGAUUUAUGUGUUUGCUGUCUUCAAGAAAGACUGUGACAAGGCUUUUCAAAUGGAGGAUCUGAUUUUUGCUCAAGACGGUGCCUGUUUUAAAAGUAGUUGUUUUACCACUAUUAGAAUAUUAUUUAAGGGCGGGGCACACCUGUGAUCCCAGCACUUUGGGAGGCCGAGG